AGAGUUUGAUCAUGGCUCAGAUUGAACGCUGGCGGUAUGCUUAACACAUGCAAGUCGAACGGAAACGAUACUAGCUUGCUAGUAGGCGUCGAGUGGCGGACGGGUGAGUAACGCGUAGGAAUCUACCUAAUAGUGGGGGAUAGCCCGGAGAAAUCCGGAUUAAUACCGCAUAAUCUCUAUGGAGUAAAGGGGCCCUCUUCUUGAAAGGUUUCGCUAUCAGAUGAGCCUGCGUAAGAUUAGCUAGUUGGUGAGGUAAAAGCUCACCAAGGCGACGAUCUUUAGCUGGUCUGAGAGGAUGAUCAGCCACACUGGGACUGAGACACGGCCCAGACUCCUACGGGAGGCAGCAGUGGGGAAUAUUGGACAAUGGGGGCAACCCUGAUCCAGCAAUACCGCGUGUGUGAAGAAGGCCUGAGGGUUGUAAAGCACUUUCAAUUGUGAAGAAAAGUUAAU
RNAcentral lists this ribosomal RNA (453 nucleotides) under uncultured marine bacterium. Its description in RNAcentral is "bacterial SSU rRNA". It matches the Rfam family "Bacterial small subunit ribosomal RNA", at positions 8 to 457 of the family's 1533-position model. The record is from RNAcentral.